This 172-nucleotide ribosomal RNA is filed under the name Vibrio alginolyticus. RNAcentral describes it as "partial 16S ribosomal RNA". It matches the Rfam family "Bacterial small subunit ribosomal RNA", at positions 1 to 153 of the family's 1533-position model. Lineage: Bacteria; Pseudomonadati; Pseudomonadota; Gammaproteobacteria; Vibrionales; Vibrionaceae. The record is from RNAcentral.
CUUAAAUUGAAGAGUUUGAUCAUGGCUCAGAUUGAACGCUGGCGGCAGGCCUAACACAUGCAAGUCGAGCGGAAACGAGUUAUCUGAACCUUCGGGGGACGAUAACGGCGUCGAGCGGCGGACGGGUGAGUAAUGCCUAGGAAAUUGCCCUGAUGUGGGGGAUAACCAUUGG